Cyprinus carpio (common carp) is the source of this 1129-nucleotide long non-coding RNA. The record is from Ensembl. NCBI's taxonomy places the organism in Eukaryota, Metazoa, Chordata, Actinopteri, Cypriniformes, Cyprinidae.
GUUCAGGGUAUGUUUCUGUUGAUGGCUGCACAUUCUGGCAUCCCAAUAUAUUACAACAGUGAUGAAAAAAGAAAGAAAAUAAAACGUGGACAAAUCAUUCAUUCUUGUUCAAUGCGAAUGUCGUAUGCUGGAAUAUGAUCAGUCAUUUAUUUCGUCUGCAAAAUGCCCGUGUCAAAAUGCCCGUCUUGGUAAGUAUCCUAUAGCAGACAUAGCUGGCUGAAAUUACUUACAGUGUUUUAAAGUGACAGCACAUUCUUAAAGGUGUCGCAGAAUGCAAAAAUCACUCUUAUAAGGUGUUUGAACACAGUUGUGUGGCCACAGUGUGUGAAAAUAACCAGCCUAUAAUGGUAAAAAUCCACCCACUCAUUGUUUUAUAAUCCUAAUAAAUCAUAAUCAGUCUCCCCAGCAGUUCCAGAUUUCUCACUACUGUGAAGUCAAACUCGGGGAAAGUCCCGCCCAUUUGUGACGCUCUCUGUCCUAUUAGUAUACACACAGCCCUGAGUGAGAAACAGCGGUCCGCCAUUACUGUUUUCUUGCUGUAGCUGCUGGAGGUACAAUGUCAGCGCCAAAGAACCAUUAAAAGUGUCAUGUGUUGGGAUGCACAAACGAACAAAGGAGUCUCCAUAGACCGCUGAGGACAUGGUGGUUAAAUUUCAUUUUCGAAGGAAAUGUCCCAGAAAAGUCCUAUACGUUUGUGUUAACAUUUUACGCCAGACUGCCUCAUAAACGUUGUGCAAAAAUUGCUUCUGAAAGAGGGAUCGAUACCAAUGCUUCUUGCGCAAACGUCCAGACUACAGACAAAGCAGAGGGUGCUUUCUUUACUGCCCCUCCCUCACCGGCAGUGGCAGGAAUGUUAUAUGGCCGCCACCACCCCCUGGAGCUCACCUGUCCAAUUCAAGGUUGGAUAAGCAGUCAUGACCUCUCUGCACACUUCACAACACCUCAGGGAUGGCGCCCUAUUCUACACACCUGGUGUUUCUGGAGUCACCAAUAAAAUCAUCACAAAUGUUGCUUGUUUCAGUCAAAUGAGGCCUGACUCCACAUGACUCAGGACCAUCAAUUAACAUCUUGUAAAGUGAAAAUCUGCAUGUUUAAUAAAAAAAUUCACAAGAAAUUUAUAACUAGUGGU